GAAAUCUUUUCCCUGUAAUACUAUCUUCAGAGCUCAAGUACUGUGUUACCAUCCGAGGCAGUGUGUGGUCCUCUACAGCCUUCCCACAGCGUGACCGUGCUGCCAGUGGUACAUCAGGACCUGGUCACAGAGGGACUCAUGUGCCGUGUGGUGACCCUCCAAAAGCAGUGAAACAUAACCUUCAUGGAGCCUCUGGGAGCUGCCUGUGGCUGGGCCUUGCAGUGGGGAGAUGACCCAUGGCCUGCAGGCCAUUGAGAGGAAACGGGGUGUUCUGGGGGACACGAUGCACUUGCCAACCAGCUGAGCUGCCUACACUCACUGAGAAGGGUACCUCUGAAACCUCACAUUAUGAGACUGGCAACUUCUCUUUAAACAAACAGUAUAUGAGUAUUUCUGCUGAGUGAAAAUUAAAAAUUAUCUGCUAAAUGGAGGAAUUUAGUUGAGGGGGUCCUCAGCUUUCUCCGGGUUGAGAGAGAGUAUCAGAUCCAUGACAAUACAGGAAAGUCGUGCUUUUACCCUGGAUCAGGAGUACUCACACCUUGGUUUACACAGGCACCACCCAAGGAGCCUGUUAAAAUGCAGACUCUGAUUCAUUAGGUUUUAAUGAGUUUUCCAAGUGAUUCCUUUUUUAGUAGUAAAAAUUAACAGUAAAAUUAAAACUAUUUUUAAUCAUGUGAAAUUUCAAAUGUAUACGUGUAACAAGAUGCUGACUUCUUGCCACAUUUGCUUUAUAUCUCUGUGUAAGAAAACAUCACAGAGCAACUCAAGUUUCCCAUUUAAUCUCUCUCCCUCCUUGCACCCCAGAUGUGACUGCUAUUCUGAAGACUGAACAUCAUUUCAUAUGUUUUUGCAUAUAUUUAUUUUAGUAAACAAUACGAUGUAUUAUUUCAAUAUUUUUAUAAAUACGGCAAUGCUUGCCACCUGUCUGCCGUCA
This is a long non-coding RNA of Herpailurus yagouaroundi (jaguarundi), 934 nucleotides long. RefSeq lists it as uncharacterized. The transcript is spliced from 2 exons. The record is from RefSeq and is a predicted model, not a curated record. Lineage: Eukaryota; Metazoa; Chordata; Mammalia; Carnivora; Felidae.